GUAGGUGGCAAGCGUUGUCCGGAAUUAUUGGGCGUAAAGCGCGCGCAGGCGGUUCUUUAAGUCUGAUGUGAAAGCCCACGGCUCAACCGUGGAGGGUCAUUGGAAACUGGAGAACUUGAGUACAGAAGAGGAAAGCGGAAUUCCACGUGUAGCGGUGAAAUGCGUAGAGAUGUGGAGGAACACCAGUGGCGAAGGCGGCUUUCUGGUCUGUAACUGACGCUGAGGCGCGAAAGCGUGGGGAGCAAACAGGGAUUAGAUACCCUGGUAGUCCACGCCGUAAACGAUGAGUGCUAAGUGUUAGGGGGUUUCCGCCCCCUUAGUGCUGCAGCUAACGCAUUAAGCACUCCGCCUGUGGAGUACGGCCGCAAGGCUG
Molecule: ribosomal RNA, 373 nt
Filed under: uncultured organism
Description: partial 16S ribosomal RNA
Rfam family: Bacterial small subunit ribosomal RNA
Source: RNAcentral